GGGUUGUGAGGUUAAGCGACUAAGCGUACACGGUGGAUGCCCUGGCAGUCAGAGGCGAUGAAGGACGUGCUAAUCUGCGAUAAGCGUCGGUAAGGUGAUAUGAACCGUUAUAACCGGCGAUUUCCGAAUGGGGAAACCCAGUGUGUUUCGACACACUAUCAUUAACUGAAUCCAUAGGUUAAUGAGGCGAACCGGGGGAACUGAAACAUCUAAGUACCCCGAGGAAAAGAAAUCAACCGAGAUUCCCCCAGUAGCGGCGAGCGAACGGGGAGCAGCCCAGAGCCUGAAUCAGUGUGUGUGUUAGUGGAAGCGUCUGGAAAGGCGCGCGAUACAGGGUGACAGCCCCGUACACAAAAAUGCACAUGCUGUGAGCUCGAUGAGUAGGGCGGGACACGUGGUAUCCUGUCUGAAUAUGGGGGGACCAUCCUCCAAGGCUAAAUACUCCUGACUGACCGAUAGUGAACCAGUACCGUGAGGGAAAGGCGAAAAGAACCCCGGCGAGGGGAGUGAAAAAGAACCUGAAACCGUGUACGUACAAGCAGUGGGAGCCUCUUUAUGGGGUGACUGCGUACCUUUUGUAUAAUGGGUCAGCGACUUAUAUUCUGUAGCAAGGUUAACCGAAUAGGGGAGCCGAAGGGAAACCGAGUCUUAACUGGGCGUUAAGUUGCAGGGUAUAGACCCGAAACCCGGUGAUCUAGCCAUGGGCAGGUUGAAGGUUGGGUAACACUAACUGGAGGACCGAACCGACUAAUGUUGAAAAAUUAGCGGAUGACUUGUGGCUGGGGGUGAAAGGCCAAUCAAACCGGGAGAUAGCUGGUUCUCCCCGAAAGCUAUUUAGGUAGCGCCUCGUGAAUUCAUCUCCGGGGGUAGAGCACUGUUUCGGCAAGGGGGUCAUCCCGACUUACCAACCCGAUGCAAACUGCGAAUACCGGAGAAUGUUAUCACGGGAGACACACGGCGGGUGCUAACGUCCGUCGUGAAGAGGGAAACAACCCAGACCGCCAGCUAAGGUCCCAAAGUCAUGGUUAAGUGGGAAACGAUGUGGGAAGGCCCAGACAGCCAGGAUGUUGGCUUAGAAGCAGCCAUCAUUUAAAGAAAGCGUAAUAGCUCACUGGUCGAGUCGGCCUGCGCGGAAGAUGUAACGGGGCUAAACCAUGCACCGAAGCUGCGGCAGCGACACUAUGUGUUGUUGGGUAGGGGAGCGUUCUGUAAGCCUGUGAAGGUGUGCUGUGAGGUAUGCUGGAGGUAUCAGAAGUGCGAAUGCUGACAUAAGUAACGAUAAAGCGGGUGAAAAGCCCGCUCGCCGGAAGACCAAGGGUUCCUGUCCAACGUUAAUCGGGGCAGGGUGAGUCGACCCCUAAGGCGAGGCCGAAAGGCGUAGUCGAUGGGAAACAGGUUAAUAUUCCUGUACUUGGUGUUACUGCGAAGGGGGGACGGAGAAGGCUAUGUUGGCCGGGCGACGGUUGUCCCGGUUUAAGCGUGUAGGCUGGUUUUCCAGGCAAAUCCGGAAAAUCAAGGCUGAGGCGUGAUGACGAGGCACUACGGUGCUGAAGUAACAAAUGCCCUGCUUCCAGGAAAAGCCUCUAAGCAUCAGGUAACAUCAAAUCGUACCCCAAACCGACACAGGUGGUCAGGUAGAGAAUACCAAGGCGCUUGAGAGAACUCGGGUGAAGGAACUAGGCAAAAUGGUGCCGUAACUUCGGGAGAAGGCACGCUGAUAUGUAGGUGAAGCGACUUGCUCGUGGAGCUGAAAUCAGUCGAAGAUACCAGCUGGCUGCAACUGUUUAUUAAAAACACAGCACUGUGCAAACACGAAAGUGGACGUAUACGGUGUGACGCCUGCCCGGUGCCGGAAGGUUAAUUGAUGGGGUCAGCGCAAGCGAAGCUCUUGAUCGAAGCCCCGGUAAACGGCGGCCGUAACUAUAACGGUCCUAAGGUAGCGAAAUUCCUUGUCGGGUAAGUUCCGACCUGCACGAAUGGCGUAAUGAUGGCCAGGCUGUCUCCACCCGAGACUCAGUGAAAUUGAACUCGCUGUGAAGAUGCAGUGUACCCGCGGCAAGACGGAAAGACCCCGUGAACCUUUACUAUAGCUUGACACUGAACAUUGAGCCUUGAUGUGUAGGAUAGGUGGGAGGCUUUGAAGUGUGGACGCCAGUCUGCAUGGAGCCGACCUUGAAAUACCACCCUUUAAUGUUUGAUGUUCUAACGUUGACCCGUGAUCCGGGUUGCGGACAGUGUCUGGUGGGUAGUUUGACUGGGGCGGUCUCCUCCUAAAGAGUAACGGAGGAGCACGAAGGUUGGCUAAUCCUGGUCGGACAUCAGGAGGUUAGUGCAAUGGCAUAAGCCAGCUUGACUGCGAGCGUGACGGCGCGAGCAGGUGCGAAAGCAGGUCAUAGUGAUCCGGUGGUUCUGAAUGGAAGGGCCAUCGCUCAACGGAUAAAAGGUACUCCGGGGAUAACAGGCUGAUACCGCCCAAGAGUUCAUAUCGACGGCGGUGUUUGGCACCUCGAUGUCGGCUCAUCACAUCCUGGGGCUGAAGUAGGUCCCAAGGGUAUGGCUGUUCGCCAUUUAAAGUGGUACGCGAGCUGGGUUUAGAACGUCGUGAGACAGUUCGGUCCCUAUCUGCCGUGGGCGCUGGAGAACUGAGGGGGGCUGCUCCUAGUACGAGAGGACCGGAGUGGACGCAUCACUGGUGUUCGGGUUGUCAUGCCAAUGGCACUGCCCGGUAGCUAAAUGCGGAAGAGAUAAGUGCUGAAAGCAUCUAAGCACGAAACUUGCCCCGAGAUGAGUUCUCCCUGACCCUUUAAGGGUCCUGAAGGAACGUUGAAGACGACGACGUUGAUAGGCCGGGUGUGUAAGCGCAGCGAUGCGUUGAGCUAACCGGUACUAAUGAACCGUGAGGCUUAACCUUACAACGCCGAAGCUGUU
RNAcentral lists this ribosomal RNA (2928 nucleotides) under Escherichia coli. RNAcentral's name for it is "bacterial LSU rRNA". It matches the Rfam family "Bacterial large subunit ribosomal RNA". The record is from RNAcentral. RNAcentral also lists the same sequence under 1 other name. Lineage: Bacteria; Pseudomonadati; Pseudomonadota; Gammaproteobacteria; Enterobacterales; Enterobacteriaceae.